UACGUAGGGGGCAAGCGUUAAUCGGAAUUACUGGGCGUAAAGCGUGCGCAGGCGGCUAUGCAAGACAGAUGUGAAAUCCCCGGGCUCAACCUGGGAACUGCGCUUGUAACUGGCAAGCUGGAGUGUGGCAGAGGGGGGUGGAAUUCCACGUGUAGCAGUGAAAUGCGUAGAGAUGUGGAGGAACACCGAUGGCGAAGGCAGCCCCCUGGGCUAACACUGACGCUCAUGCACGAAAGCGUGGGGAGCAAACAGG
RNAcentral lists this ribosomal RNA (253 nucleotides) under uncultured bacterium. Its description in RNAcentral is "partial 16S ribosomal RNA". It matches the Rfam family "Bacterial small subunit ribosomal RNA", at positions 524 to 776 of the family's 1533-position model. The record is from RNAcentral.